RNAcentral lists this long non-coding RNA (1139 nucleotides) under Homo sapiens (human). Its description in RNAcentral is "HSALNT0168183". Lineage: Eukaryota; Metazoa; Chordata; Mammalia; Primates; Hominidae. The record is from RNAcentral.
GAACCUUGGAAACUCAAGCCAAUGCACACCAAUCCCAUGCCCACUGCCCAUGCAGGACUGAGACAGAGGGAAGACGCCAGAGUGGCCCAUCCUCUAUUCUGUACUCCCAGUUGGUGGAAGAGGAAAGGGAAAUCGUGCUUAUUAAAAAUCUCAAAGGUGCAGCUCCAGGUUGUUCAGGCAUCUCAUGACAGCAACAGGAGUCAAAAGACCCCACCCUGCAGGCUGGAAUUCAGGGCAAAAAUGAUGGCAUUCUGCAGGGAUAAAUUAAAGGCUGGCACUUAGGUUCAAAAAGCCAACUAUACAAGGCCAAGAAAAAAAGCCUCUGAAUUGUAUUUUUUAUGAAAGACUUAACAUGGACUAAUUGUGUGGUAAAGCUACCCAAAACACUGAAGUUUACAAUACAAAAUGCUGUUGUUAGGAAAGAAACUCAUAUCCAUUGCAAAAUAACUUGAAAAUUUACAAAUAUGAGAGAGAGCAGUCGAGAGAGAGCUGCGUGUAUGGAGAUUACUUAAUCCCAUCUCUGACAAUUAUCUGUUAAUCCACUUGAUUAUAACCUUCUAUUUCUUUUCCCUAGGCAGGUAUUCAAGGUAUAUCUAUAACAUAAUUGUAUUUUUGAAAAGAUAUAUUUGCAACUUGGCUUUUUUUUUUUUUGAACAGUCUUGCUCUGUUGCCCAGGCUGGAGUGCAGUGGCGCGAUCACGGUUCACUGCAGCCUCGACCUCCUGGGCUCAAGUGAUCCUCCUACCUCAGCCUCCUGAAUAGCUAGGACUGCAGGUGUACACCACCAUGCCUGUCCAAGUUUUAAAUUUUUUGUAGAGUUGGGGGGGGUCUCUCUAUUUUGCCCAGGUUGGCCUCAAACUCCUGGACUCAAGGAAUCCCCUCAGCCUCCCAAAGUGCUGAGAUUAUAGGUAUGAGCCACCAUACCUGGCCACAACUUGACUUUUUUAUAUAACUAAAUAUUGUAAAUAACUUUCAAAGUCAUUACUUUUCCAUAAUGCCAUUUUUAUGUGUUGUAAAAUAUUCUAUUUUAUAAAUUUACCAUAAUUUAUUUAUAAAAUUGUAUUUUGUACAUUGAUUUUUCCUCGAUUUUUCUGUAAUAUAAUGAAUCCUGGGCUGAAUCACCUUGGAAAUAAAUGUUUG